CAGUAGCCGCGGUAAUACAGAGGGUGCGAGCGUUAAUCGGAUUUACUGGGCGUAAAGCGUGCGUAGGCGGCUUCUUAAGUCGGAUGUGAAAUCCCUGAGCUUAACUUAGGAAUUGCAUUCGAUACUGGGAAGCUAGAGUAUGGGAGAGGAUGGUAGAAUUCCAGGUGUAGCGGUGAAAUGCGUAGAGAUUUGGAGGAAUACCGAUGGCGAAGGCAGCCAUCUGGCCUAAUACUGACGCUGAGGUACGAAAGCAUGGGGAGCAAACAGGAUUAGAUACCCCAGUAGUCCCUGUCUCUUAUAU
Molecule: ribosomal RNA, 301 nt
Filed under: uncultured bacterium
Lineage: Bacteria
Description: partial 16S ribosomal RNA
Rfam family: Bacterial small subunit ribosomal RNA
Source: RNAcentral